GGGCCAUUAGCUCAGUUGGUUAGAUCACCCGGCUCAUAUCCAGUAUGUCUAGGGUUCGAGUCCCUGAUGGCCCUCCA
Molecule: transfer RNA, 77 nt
Filed under: Clostridioides difficile
Lineage: Bacteria; Bacillati; Bacillota; Clostridia; Peptostreptococcales; Peptostreptococcaceae
Description: tRNA-Met
Rfam family: tRNA
About the family: Transfer RNA (tRNA) molecules are approximately 80 nucleotides in length. Their secondary structure includes four short double-helical elements and three loops (D, anti-codon, and T loops). Further hydrogen bonds mediate the characteristic L-shaped molecular structure. tRNAs have two regions of fundamental functional importance: the anti-codon, which is responsible for specific mRNA codon recognition, and the 3' end, to which the tRNAs corresponding amino acid is attached (by aminoacyl-tRNA synthetases). tRNAs cope with the degeneracy of the genetic code in two manners: having more than one tRNA (with a specific anti-codon) for a particular amino acid; and 'wobble' base-pairing, i.e. permitting non-standard base-pairing at the 3rd anti-codon position.
Source: RNAcentral